Molecule: ribosomal RNA, 479 nt
Filed under: uncultured bacterium
Lineage: Bacteria
Description: partial 16S ribosomal RNA
Rfam family: Bacterial small subunit ribosomal RNA
Source: RNAcentral
GAUGAACGCUAGCGGGAGGCCUAACACAUGCCAGCCGAGCGGUAUUUGUUCUUCGGAACAGAGAGAGCGGCGCACGGGUGCGGAACACGUGUGCAACCUGCCUUUAUCUGGGGGAUAGCCUUUCGAAAGGAAGAUUAAUACCCCAUAAUAUAUUGAGUGGCAUCACUUGAUAUUGAAAACUCCGGUGGAUAGAGAUGGGCACGCGCAAGAUUAGAUAGUUGGUGAGGUAACGGCUCACCAAGUCAAUGAUCUUUAGGGGGCCUGAGAGGGUGACCCCCCACACUGGUACUGAGACACGGACCAGACUCCUACGGGAGGCAGCAGUGAGGAAUAUUGGACAAUGGGUUAGCGCCUGAUCCAGCCAUCCCGCGUGAAGGACGACGGCCCUAUGGGUUGUAAACUUCUUUUGUAUAGGGAUAAACCUACUCUCGUGAGAGUAGCUGAAGGUACUAUACGAAUAAGCACCGGCUAACUCCGUG